UCAUGAACACAGGUGAAAGACGCAGAAAUCCCCGUGUGGCCCCUGUGAGCAUGCCUACAUCAGCACAAUGAACACCAUUUUGUUUAGUUUAGAGGCAUGACCUGACAUCUUUUUGAACUGCAAGCAAACAUUUCAGCAACCAAAUUGUUUCCUCUGUAACAAACUAUUUGCUCCUGUUGGGGCAGUGCAUUAUGCACACUGACUACAGUGUCAUCUCAGUAUUUUGUCUAAGAGAAAAUCUUGAAUCAGACACCGGGGUAAUACCUCAGCCUACAGUCAAGCCUCACACCAGACUUGGCCAUUCCCUAAUGAGUUUUCAGUUUAAGCAAACAAGACAGGUCUCAGUGUUACUGGGGAAACCACAGCCUAGAAACAGAGAGUGCAGCAGCAGAGGUCUUAGCAGAGGCGCUGCAAGAUAUGAACACUGGUGCACCAUGUGCAGAAAGCUGCUGUUACCAGCCCAGUAUCCACCCGGCUGGAGUCAGCAGGAAGGAGCAUGAGCUCAGUUUUUUCUUCACACUGAAGAAUCAGGAUCUGAACUCAUUUCUGUCAUGGUUUAACAUCCUCAGCAUGUCUGAACAUCUUUCUGCACCAUUUUUAGGAUGCUGUAACCCAGCUCUCCUCGCUGCCUGGUGGUCAGAGAUUAGAGGACUAGGAUGUUUCACUGGCAGACGGCAGGGUCUUGCUUCAACAUCAAAAGCUAACUACCAUAGAUUGAUCAAGAAAUUACAGAGUGGAAGACAAAUUUUCAAUGCAUAUAUGUAAUGCCAGGAGAAUUUUCUUCAGAUUCAGCACCACAAUUUAGUACAACAGCAAAGUUCAGGGAGAAAAAAAGAUUUGCUGACAGAAAAGCCUGAACUUCUCAGCAGCAGCCCAGCUAACAUUUCCUGAAAUGGCAAUUGCACUAUAAACAGACUCACUCUGUUGGCUGUAGGGCACUGUCUCAUCUGGAAACACCCAUUUCGCAGUGGCUGCACAAUUAACAGAUAUUUCCCUAAUAAUUCACUGUCUGGAAUAUUUUGCUUUUUUUUUCAAUAAAAUUUCCUUGCCACUAAAAAGUGUACA
This 1065-nucleotide long non-coding RNA is filed under the name Anser brachyrhynchus (Pink-footed goose). Its description in RNAcentral is "lncRNA (ENSABRG00000017223.1)". The record is from RNAcentral. Lineage: Eukaryota; Metazoa; Chordata; Aves; Anseriformes; Anatidae.